UACGUAGGGUGCAAGCGUUAAUCGGAAUUACUGGGCGUAAAGCGUGCGCAGGCGGCGCCGCAAGUCAGGCGUGAAAUCCCCGAGCUUAACUUGGGAAUGGCGCUUGAAACUACGGUGCUGGAGUGUGGCAGAGGGAGGUGGAAUUCCACGUGUAGCGGUGAAAUGCGUAGAGAUGUGGAGGAACACCGAUGGCGAAGGCAGCCUCCUGGGCCAACACUGACGCUCAUGCACGGAAGCGUGGGGAGCAAACAGG
Molecule: ribosomal RNA, 253 nt
Filed under: uncultured bacterium
Lineage: Bacteria
Description: partial 16S ribosomal RNA
Rfam family: Bacterial small subunit ribosomal RNA
Source: RNAcentral